UACGGAGGGUGCGAGCGUUAAUCGGAAUUACUGGGCGUAAAGCGCAUGCAGGUGGUGUGUUAAGUCAGAUGUGAAAGCCCGGGGCUCAACCUCGGAAUAGCAUUUGAAACUGGCACACUAGAGUACUGUAGAGGGGGGUAGAAUUUCAGGUGUAGCGGUGAAAUGCGUAGAGAUCUGAAGGAAUACCAGUGGCGAAGGCGGCCCCCUGGACAGAUACUGACACUCAGAUGCGAAAGCGUGGGUAGCGAAAGGG
This 253-nucleotide ribosomal RNA is filed under the name uncultured bacterium. RNAcentral describes it as "partial 16S ribosomal RNA". It matches the Rfam family "Bacterial small subunit ribosomal RNA", at positions 524 to 776 of the family's 1533-position model. The record is from RNAcentral.